Molecule: non-coding RNA, 58 nt
Submitted as: unclassified sequences
Source: Rfam
AACCGUUCAUCCUAUUUAAGGACGCAGUUCGAGCUAUUCCAGGGAACGGGGGUAUAGC